Musa acuminata AAA Group (dessert banana) is the source of this 914-nucleotide long non-coding RNA. RefSeq lists it as uncharacterized. Lineage: Eukaryota; Viridiplantae; Streptophyta; Magnoliopsida; Zingiberales; Musaceae. The transcript has 2 exons. The record is from RefSeq and is a predicted model, not a curated record.
CCAGUAGUGAUAUAAAGAGCAGGCAGGUCGGCAGAUGCUUUCUCCAGGAUGGCCUUUUGGUCAUUUUAACGUCGAUAUUACCGAAGCCACCUCGCUCCUCUUUAUGAUCGGCCGCCUCCCCGUUGCCUCACUUGCGCCCCUUGUGUUCCUCUCUCUCUUGUCAUCUUAGGGUCGAUCUGUCGGCAAUGGCUUCCGUCACGGGAACGGCGAUCUCAAUCUCCGCGCGGCCGUCGCGGCGAUCGCUGCAGAUCUUCGAUUCGGGUGGAUCGACUGGAUUGAUCCAUCAGAGCGCCUUGAUUCAUAUAGUUUGCUACUUUGUUAUUAAGCUAGCCUCACCAGAAGAUCAUUCGAAGCAUACUGCUGUGAGUAAUGACGGUCAUUGUCAAAUAUAGACACUUUCGUCUCGUCUUUGAACUGAUCACCAACCCGUCAAAAAUUUCAAAGAUUUCCGUAGCCUGAAGAACCCCUAAAUAUUGAACUCAACAUCAGCAAAGACAACGUUUCAUUUUACGAGGGUACAACGGAAACCGGAAGCACAAAAUUAAUUUGUGGUUUUGGCAUUUUCUUUAGAACAUUCUAAAGAUCAUUGAUUGCUAGAAAAGGUUUCCUUUCCCAGAUCGGUUAUCAUCAUGGAAGAGGUUGUUUUCUUUUUUUUUUGUCGACUUAUUCAAGAAAUUGAAUGUGAUCUCUAUGUUCUUUAUUUAACCUGAUAAGAAUUUAUUGCCCCUUCUUAAUCUCACAAAGUAGGUUUUAUUUCUUUGAGUUUUUUAGUGAGAUCGAAUAUUGUUGUCAAUCAAGAUUUACUGGAAUCACAUCUUGCACUAUGUUGUUUAAUUAAAUGAUGUUGCUUCGUUAAAUGAUGUAUCUAUUAUAUCAUCAAACAUGCGAUUGGUCCUCGGUGGAAUUUUGUGGUG